UCUCAAUACCAUGGUUCAUGGCAGAUCAGCGGCACUAUUAUGUGUUUGCUGCGUUUGAACCGAACCAAUAAUUUGGUACAACAUCUAUUGUUUCCUUUAUCUGAACCGAACCAAUAGUUUUUUAAAUCAUAAUAAUAUUUCCUUAGAUAUGCAGGUUGGCGAUUCUCAAGUUGAUGGGUUUGUGCUACAAACUGAACUAAUUCCUCUGUGCCUUUGUAAUAUGGAGUUGGGCACUGAGCUUUCAUGCAAAUGAGGCACAAGAUAGAUCACAUGUGUGCACAGUAUUGGAGAUGCAGGCCCUUUAUUUUCAUUUACAAUUGGGACAUAUUCAACAUACCAAGACUCACAAAAUAUUGCCCGGGGCAAUACCAGUAAGCAACACACAAAUCUAGAUGAUAGGUCCUGAUAGGCAAACCAUAUGCUUCAUGACAAAACUAUGAACCAAUUGCACAAUAGUAAUAUUAGCAUGUUGUAUCUUUCUUCUUUUCCCCCAAUGAGCUUGUUCAUGCUUCUGGACAAUUGGACAUGGCAUAUAUCUUUGCCUUCUCCUGAUGUACAAGUCAUUUAAGAUCAUAGUCGUUUUGUACUCAGGUUACAUCAUAUGAGAUUUAACCAAAGGAGUGUUGUGUUUUUCAAUACGUUUUUUUCAUCAAUGGUAUUUAAAAG
Molecule: long non-coding RNA, 666 nt
Filed under: Triticum aestivum (bread wheat)
Lineage: Eukaryota; Viridiplantae; Streptophyta; Magnoliopsida; Poales; Poaceae
Description: long non-coding RNA (TAES_LNC008563)
Source: RNAcentral